RNAcentral lists this ribosomal RNA (486 nucleotides) under uncultured bacterium. RNAcentral's name for it is "partial 16S ribosomal RNA". It matches the Rfam family "Bacterial small subunit ribosomal RNA", at positions 30 to 507 of the family's 1533-position model. The record is from RNAcentral.
AUUGAACGCUGGCGGCAUGCCUUACACAUGCAAGUCGAACGGCAGCACGGGUGCUUGCACCUGGUGGCGAGUGGCGAACGGGUGAGUAAUACAUCGGAACAUGUCCUGUAGUGGGGGAUAGCCCGGCGAAAGCCGGAUUAAUACCGCAUACGAUCUACGGAUGAAAGCGGGGGACCUUCGGGCCUCGCGCUAUAGGGUUGGCCGAUGGCUGAUUAGCUAGUUGGUGGGGUAAAGGCCUACCAAGGCGACGAUCAGUAGCUGGUCUGAGAGGACGACCAGCCACACUGGAACUGAGACACGGCCCAGACUCCUACGGGAGGCAGCAGUGGGGAAUGUUGGACAAUGGGCGAAAGCCUGAUCCAGCAAUGCCGCGUGUGUGAAGAAGGCCUUCGGGUUGUAAAGCACUUUUGUCCGGAAAGAAAUCCUUGGCCCUAAUACGGUCGGGGGAUGACGGUACCGGAAGAAUAAGCACCGGCUAACUACGUG